CCUACGGUGCGCAGCAGUGGGGAAUAUUGCACAAUGGGGGAAACCCUGAUGCAGCGACGCCGCGUGCGUGAAGAAGCGCCUCGGCGCGUAACGCUCUGUCAGCAGGAACGAUAAUGCCGGUACCUGAAGAAGAAGCCCCGGCUAACUACGUGCCAGCAGCCGCGGUAAUACGUAGGGGGCAAGCGUUAUCCGGAUGUACUGGGUGUAACGGGAUCGUAGACGGCGGGGCAAGUCUGGAGUGACCGGCCGGGGCCCAACCCCGGGACCGCUCUGGAACCUGCCAGGCUGGAGUGCGGGAGAGGUAAGCGGAAUUCCUAGUGUAGCGGUGAAAUGCGGAGAUAUUAGGAGGAACACCAGCGGCGAAGGCGGCUUACUGGACCGUGACUGACGUUGAGGCUCGAAAGCGUGGGGAGCAAACAGGAUUAGAUACCCGUGUAGUC
RNAcentral lists this ribosomal RNA (440 nucleotides) under uncultured bacterium. Its description in RNAcentral is "partial 16S ribosomal RNA". It matches the Rfam family "Bacterial small subunit ribosomal RNA", at positions 338 to 795 of the family's 1533-position model. The record is from RNAcentral.